Molecule: ribosomal RNA, 396 nt
Filed under: uncultured bacterium
Lineage: Bacteria
Description: bacterial SSU rRNA
Rfam family: Bacterial small subunit ribosomal RNA
Source: RNAcentral
GACGAACGCUGGCGGCGUGCUUAACACAUGCAAGUCGAGCGGUAAGGCCCUUUCGGGGGUACACGAGCGGCGAACGGGUGAGUAACACGUGGGUGACCUGCCCUUAGCUCUGGGAUAAGCCUGGGAAACUGGGUCUAAUACCGGAUAUGACUCCAUGACGCAUGUUGUGGGGUGGAAAGCCUUGUGCGGCUAGGGAUGGGCCCGCGGCCUAUCAGCUUGUUGGUGGGGUGAUGGCCUACCAAGGCGACGACGGGUAGCCGGCCUGAGAGGGGCGACCGGCCACACUGGGACUGAGACACGGCCCAGACUCCUACGGGAGGCAGCAGUGAGGAAUAUUCCACAAUGGGCGAAAGCCUGAUGGAGCGACGCCGCGUGGGGAAGAAGCCUUUCGGGUGU